This 468-nucleotide ribosomal RNA is filed under the name uncultured bacterium. RNAcentral describes it as "partial 16S ribosomal RNA". It matches the Rfam family "Bacterial small subunit ribosomal RNA", at positions 28 to 507 of the family's 1533-position model. The record is from RNAcentral.
GACGAACGCUGGCGGCGUGCUUAACACAUGCAAGUCGAACGGAAAGGCCCUGCUCUUGCGGGGUGCUCGAGUGGCGAACGGGUGAGUAACACGUGAGUAUCCUGCCCCUGACUGUGGGAUAACUUCAGGAAACUGGGGCUAAUAUCGGAUAGGAGAUCCUGCUGCACGGGGGGGGUUGGAAAGUUUCGGCGGUUUGGGAUGGACUCGCGGCUUAUCAGCUUGUUGGGGGGGUAGUGGCUUACCAAGGUUUUGACGGGUAGCCGGCCUGAGAGGGUGACCGGCCACAUUGGGACUGAGGUACGGCCCAGACUCCUACGGGAGGCAGCAGUGGGGAAUAUUGCGCAAUGGGCGGAAGCCUGAUGCAGCAACGCCGCGUGCGGGAUGACGGCCUUCGGGUUGUAAACCGCUUUCGCCUGUGACGAAGCGUGAGUGACGGUAAUGGGUAAAGAAGCACCGGCUAACUACGUG